GCCGGGCGUGGUGGCUUGCGCCUGUAGUCCCAGCUACUCGGGAGGCUGAGGCAGAAGGAUCGCUUGAACCCAGGAGGCGGAGGUUGCAGUGAGCCAAGAUGGUGCCACUGCAUUCCAGCCUGGGUGACAGAGCGAGACUCUGUCUCAA
Molecule: non-coding RNA, 148 nt
Organism: Pan troglodytes (chimpanzee)
Lineage: Eukaryota; Metazoa; Chordata; Mammalia; Primates; Hominidae
Rfam family: Metazoan signal recognition particle RNA
About the family: The signal recognition particle (SRP) is a universally conserved ribonucleoprotein. It is involved in the co-translational targeting of proteins to membranes.
Source: Rfam